RNAcentral lists this ribosomal RNA (90 nucleotides) under Enterobacter cloacae. Lineage: Bacteria; Pseudomonadati; Pseudomonadota; Gammaproteobacteria; Enterobacterales; Enterobacteriaceae. The record is from RNAcentral. RNAcentral also lists the same sequence under 17 other names.
CCUGACCCCAUGCCGAACUCAGAAGUGAAACGCCGUAGCGCCGAUGGUAGUGUGGGGUCUCCCCAUGUGAGAGUAGGGAACUGCCAGGCA